GAUGAACGCUGGCGGCGUGCCUAAUACAUGCAAGUCGAGCGAACGGACGAGAAGCUUGCUUCUCUGAUGUUAGCGGCGGACGGGUGAGUAACACGUGGAUAACCUACCUAUAAGACUGGGAUAACUUCGGGAAACCGGAGCUAAUACCGGAUAAUAUUUUGAACCGCAUGAUUCAAAAGUGAAAGACGGUCUUGCUGUCACUUAUAGAUGGAUCCGCGCUGCAUUAGCUAGUUGGUAAGUUAACGGCUUACCAAGGCAACGAUGCAUAGCCGACCUGAGAGGGUGAUCGGCCACACUGGAACUGAGACACGGUCCAGACGCCUACGGGAGGCAGCAGUAGGGAAUCUUCCGCAAUGGGCGAAAGCCUGACGGAGCAACGCCGCGUGAGUGAUGAAGGUCUUCGGAUCGUAAAACUCUGUUAUUAGGGAAGAACAUAUGUGUAAGUAACUGUGCACAUCUUGACGGUACCUAAUCAGAAAGCCACGGCUAACUACGUG
RNAcentral lists this ribosomal RNA (497 nucleotides) under uncultured bacterium. RNAcentral describes it as "partial 16S ribosomal RNA". It matches the Rfam family "Bacterial small subunit ribosomal RNA", at positions 28 to 507 of the family's 1533-position model. The record is from RNAcentral.